GAUGAACGCUGGCGGCGUGCCUAACACAUGCAAGUCGAGCGGACAGACGAUGCUUUCGCUCUUCUUACGUUACCGACGGGUGAGUAAUUCAUAGGUGGAUUACCUCUCUAUAAGGCUUAGGUCACUUCAGGUAACCUUAUCUCUUACCGGUUCAUAUCUUGAACCUCAUUGUUCUAUGGAUUAAGCUCUUUUUGCUGUGACUUAUAGGUGUAUCCGCGUCGGAUUGGCUAGUUGGUAAGGUAACGGCUUACCAAGGCGACGAUGCGUAGCUGGCCUGAGAGGGUGAUCGGCCACACUGGAACUGAGACAAGGUCCAGACUCCUACGGGAGGCAGCAGUAGGGAAUAUUCAGCAAUGGGCGAAAGCCUGAAGGAGCAACGACGCGUGAGUGAUGAAGGUCUUCGGAUCGUAAAGCUCUGUGAGUAGGGAAGAACAAAAGUGUAAGAAGAAAUGCAUGUGUUGACGGUACCAAAAGAAAAAGCAACGGCUAACUACGUG
This 497-nucleotide ribosomal RNA is filed under the name uncultured bacterium. RNAcentral describes it as "partial 16S ribosomal RNA". It matches the Rfam family "Bacterial small subunit ribosomal RNA", at positions 28 to 507 of the family's 1533-position model. The record is from RNAcentral.